UGGGGAAUAUUGCGCAAUGGGGGGAACCCUGACGCAGCCAUGCCGCGUGAAUGAAGAAGGCCUUCGGGUUGUAAAGUUCUUUCGGUAUUGAGGAAGGUUGAUGUGUUAAUAGCACAUCAAAUUGACGUUAAAUACAGAAGAAGCACCGGCUAACUCCGUGCCAGCAGCCGCGGUAAUACGGAGGGUGCGAGCGUUAAUCGGAAUAACUGGGCGUAAAGGGCACGCCAGGCGGUUAUUUAAGUGAGGUGUGAAAGCCCUGGGCUUAACCUAGGAAUUGCAUUUCAGACUGGGUAACUAGAGUACUUUAGGGAGGGGUAGAAUUCCACGUGUAGCGGUGAAAUGCGUAGAGAUGUGGAGGAAUACCGAAGGCGAAGGCAGCCCCUUGGGAAUGUACUGACGCUCAUGUGCGAAAGCGUGGGGGAGCACAAACAGGAUUAGAUACCCUGGUAGUCCACGCUGUGAACCUGUCGAUUUGGGGGGUUGGGGUUUAACUCUGGCGCCCGUAGCUAACGUGAUAAAUCGACCGCCUGGGGAGUACGGCCGCAAGGUUA
Molecule: ribosomal RNA, 551 nt
Filed under: uncultured bacterium
Lineage: Bacteria
Description: bacterial SSU rRNA
Rfam family: Bacterial small subunit ribosomal RNA
Source: RNAcentral